GGAUUAGAUACCCUGGUAGUCCACGCUGUAAACGAUGAUCACUAGAUGUAUGGCCCCUUCGGGGGUUGUGUGUCGAAGCUAACGCGUUAAGUGAUCCGCCUGGGGAGUACGGUCGCAAGAUUAAAACUUAAAGGAAUUGACGGGGGCCCGCACAAGCGGUGGAACAUGUGGUUUAAUUCGACACUCCGCGAGGAACCUUACCUAGGCUUGACAUGCUGAAGCCAUUUCCUGAAAAGGAAAGUUUCGAGCUUGCUCGGACUUCUGCACAGGUGCUGCAUGGCUGUCGUCAGCUCGUGCCG
RNAcentral lists this ribosomal RNA (299 nucleotides) under uncultured bacterium. RNAcentral describes it as "partial 16S ribosomal RNA". It matches the Rfam family "Bacterial small subunit ribosomal RNA", at positions 775 to 1067 of the family's 1533-position model. The record is from RNAcentral.